UCCGAGUUGUAAUUUGUAGAGGAUGUUUUGGGUACCGCCCCGGUUUAAAUUUCUUGGAACAGAAUGUCAAAGAGGGUGAGAAUCCCGUCUUGGACCGGCGGUAGGGCCUGUGUAAAACUCCUUCGACGAGUCGAGUUGUUUGGGAAUGCAGCUCAAAAUGGGUGGUAAAUUUCAUCUAAAGCUAAAUAUUGGCCAGAGACCGAUAGCGCACAAGUAGAGUGAUCGAAAGAUGAAAAGAACUUUGAAAAGAGAGUUAAACAGUAUGUGAAAUUGUUGAAAGGGAAGCGCUUGCAACCAGACUUGAGCGCGACGGUUCCCCUAGCCUUUUGGCUAGGUUACUCUGUCGUGUCCAGGCCAACAUCGGUUCUGAGGGUCGGUCAAAGGCCCCGGGAAUGUACCUACCCACGGGUAGACUUAUAGACCGGGGUGUCAUGCGGCCUCUCGGGACCGAGGAACGCGCUUCGGCUCGGAUGUUGGCGUAAUGGUUGUCAGCGACCCGUCUUGAAACACGGACCAAGGAGUCUAACAUCUAUGCGAGUGUUUGGGUGUCAAACCCGGAACGCGGAAUGAAAGUGAACGGAGGUAGGAAGCUUCGGCUGCACUAUCGACCGAUCCUGAAGUUUACGGAUGGAUUUGAGUAAGAGCAUAGCUGUUGGGACCCGAAAGAUGGUGAACUAUGCCUGAAUAGGGUGAAGCCAGAGGAAACUCUGGUGGAGGCUCGCAGCGGUUCUGACGUGCAAAUCGAUCGUCAAAUUUGGGUAUAGGG
Molecule: ribosomal RNA, 766 nt
Filed under: Phialophora verrucosa
Lineage: Eukaryota; Fungi; Ascomycota; Eurotiomycetes; Chaetothyriales; Herpotrichiellaceae
Description: eukaryotic LSU rRNA
Rfam family: Eukaryotic large subunit ribosomal RNA
Source: RNAcentral